GCUGGGCACGGUGGCACAUGCCUGUAAUCCAAGCGACUUGGGAGGGUGAGGCAGGAGGAUUGCAAGUUUGAGGCCAGGCUUAACAACAUAACAAUACCCUGUUUCAA
Molecule: small RNA, 107 nt
Filed under: Marmota monax (woodchuck)
Lineage: Eukaryota; Metazoa; Chordata; Mammalia; Rodentia; Sciuridae
Source: RNAcentral